This 1377-nucleotide long non-coding RNA is filed under the name Callithrix jacchus (white-tufted-ear marmoset). Its description in RNAcentral is "lncRNA (ENSCJAG00000084438.1)". Lineage: Eukaryota; Metazoa; Chordata; Mammalia; Primates; Cebidae. The record is from RNAcentral.
CAGGAUGGAUAAUUAUAUCUUCCCUAUCAUUUAAUAGGACCUGAUUCAUUUGAAAAUGCCUCCAGAAGCAGGAAUCCUAGAAGAUAGAUGAUCUUUUAGAGGACACAGAAGUUCAAAAUGUUGACAUGGUUUUUUCCAAGUCAUUGCAUUAGUGACAUUACUAGAAUUGGACACCUGGUCCCCUCAACUUCUGGUUCUGCAUUUUUAAACCAACGUGCAAGUUUAGUAGAAUCUAAAAAUGAUAUCAGUGUCUCAACUAGGGCUCAUUUGAAAGGUAUUAAUUUAAAAGUUAACUUUCUUUUGGAUAAGGAGGAGUGGAAAGUUGACAUUUGUUUUCUUUUGAAUGUGAAGGCAGUUUCAUAAUAUUAAGCUUUUGCUGUAUUUUUUGUCUGUGUAGUAUUUUGUUUGAAAUGAGGGUGUCUUGAGAUAUUGCACUAGAGCUCUUUCUCUUUUUCUCUCUCUGUCUUUCUCACUCCUUACAGCCCACCCCCACCUUCUCUCCCUCCUUCCCUUCCUUCUUUCCAUCCAUUCCUCCUUCCUACAAAUGCCUAGGAUAUGCUAUGAUGUAAAAGUAUUCAGUAAAUCAUUUUGGGCAUGGAGCCAUAGUUUUAGCUAGAGAUGCUUUUGCCCCCAGGGGACAUUUUGCAAUGUCUGGACUUACUUUUGGUUGUCACAAUUGGGGAGAAGGGAAUGCUAAUACCAGCUAGAGGGUAGAGACCAAGUAUGCUGCUAAACAUCCUACAGUGUUCACCACAGCCCUCCAUAGCAAAAAACUGUAUGACCACAAAUGUCAAUUGUGCUGAGACUCAGAAACCCUACUGCAGAGAAAGAGAAGAAAAACAACAUGAAAUCAAUGAUCGUUUCCAUAUUCCUGAUUAUGGAAUCCUGACAAAAAAUCCCCAGCAUCUGUCCAGUAUCUGUUUUGGGACAUGGUUCAAAUUAGAAGGGCCACAAUGUACCCUCUGCAAAGGAACAACUGCUGACAGUGUCAGAGAUGGCAGCAGUGCCACAACCGAGGGCCACUCAUUGCAUGAGGUGAUCUACACUUUCUGCAAUGAACAUAUGAUAUUGUAUAGCAAAAAUGAGCCUACACUUGUCGUGAAAAGUAAAAAAGAUAAACAACAGUCUUCUGGCUUUUGCUUGCUAAUAGUCAUGCUGCACUGCUUCUGCUUUCAGAAGCAUUGGCGAGUCCUGUCCUCCCACUACCCCCACCUCAUCUCCCAAUGUCCUGAGGUCUUGCCCAGCUGCCUGACCAUGGCAUGGCAGGAUCUGUCAAGGUGCAGACCCAGGCCAUUCUCCAUUCCCCUGGGGAAGAUUCCUCCUGAGCCUUUCCCAGGGCCUCAGUCACCAUCAGGGCUAUACAAGCCUGCAUCCUAG